UGCGUUUUUCGCCCAGGCGGAGCUCGACCGCCGAUUCAAGUCUUGAGGGACUUCAUCGACGAGUACCGAGGCACCCUCGGGGUCGAGCCGAUCUGCAGGGUGCUGCAGGUCGCCCCG
The sequence is a regulatory RNA element, 117 nucleotides long. It matches the Rfam family "ALIL pseudoknot". The record is from Rfam.